Molecule: ribosomal RNA, 332 nt
Filed under: uncultured Actinomycetes bacterium
Lineage: Bacteria; Bacillati; Actinomycetota; Actinomycetes
Description: bacterial SSU rRNA
Rfam family: Bacterial small subunit ribosomal RNA
Source: RNAcentral
GACGAACGCUGGCGGCGUGCUUAACACAUGCAAGUCGAGCGAGAACCAGACCUUCGGGUCCGGGGACAGCGGCGAACGGGUGAGUAACACGUGGGCAACCUGCCCCAGAGACCGGGACAACACUUCGAAAGGGGUGCUAAUACCGGAUGAUGUGGCACCUGCUAAGUGGGUGUCACCAAAUGGUAGCUUCGGCCUCCGCUCUGGGAUGGGCCCGCGCCGGAUUAGCUUGUUGGUGAGGUAACGGCUCACCAAGGCGACGAUCCGUAGCUGGUCUGAGAGGACGAUCAGCCACACUGGGACUGAGACACGGCCCAGACUCCUACGGGAGGCAG